GCAAACUUGGUCAUUUAGAGGAAGUAAAAGUCGUAACAAGGUUUCCGUAGGUGAACCUGCGGAAGGAUCAUUAACAAAUCCGUGCUGGUUGCAUCGUGCGUGCUGCACAAUCGGUGCAAUUACGCUUGUUCCAUGUGCACUUUCUGCACAUUGCGAUACAUUUCUGCGAAUCGUCUGAUUGUCAUUCAAUGUCAAUAUCAACUUUUAACAAUGGAUCUCUAGGCUCCUGCAUCGAUGAAGAAAAAGUCGUAACAAGGUUUCCGUAGGUGAACCUGCGGAAGGAUCAUUAACAAAUCCGUGCUGGUUGCAUCGUGCGUGCUGCACAAUCGGUGCAAUUACGCUUGUUCCAUGUGCACUUUCUGCACAUUGCGAUACAUUUCUGCGAAUCGUCUGAUUGUCAUUCAAUGUCAAUAUCAACUUUUAACAAUGGAUCUCUAGGCUCCUGCAUCGAUGAAGAACGCAGC
Molecule: unclassified non-coding RNA, 464 nt
Filed under: uncultured fungus
Lineage: Eukaryota; Fungi
Description: partial contains small subunit ribosomal RNA, internal transcribed spacer 1, and 5.8S ribosomal RNA
Rfam family: Eukaryotic small subunit ribosomal RNA (bases 1-73)
Source: RNAcentral